AGGGUUUAAUGAAUUUGUUAAUUUACAGACCCAACCAUAGGAUAAACGGAUUGCCCACCCAAACCCAACUAAAACGGAUCCUAUCCUAUUAAUUUAUUAAAAAAUUGAAAACCACAAGACAAAAACAAAAAAACAAAAUCCCUUCCCCUUUUUCGUUAUCUUCUUCUUUCUUCAAAUUCAACUUUCAAAUCCCAUUUUAGAGAACUCUAUCAAUAAUAUUUCCUUCUCCAAUUCAUUCAUUCUUCAAUUUCAUUCAUAUUGAUUGAUUUACUUGUAUUCUCCUUUCUCGUUUUAGAUCCAAUCAGUUUCUAGGGUUCUCAAUAAAAACCAACCAUUGAUCUGAGAUGGCUGAUAUCAUGAAGCAAAUCUUAGCGAAGCCGAUCCAAUUGUCUGACCAGGUGAUGAAAGCGGCUGAUGAGGCUAGUUGGUCUUUUGGUCAAGGCGAAGACUGAGAAGCUUGCUGGUCUUCUCCGCCAGGUUUCCCGCGCUAGUUCUGAUCUAUACGAGCGUCCCACUCACCGUAUCAUCGAUGACACGGAGCAGAUACUGGAGCAGGCUUUCUCCCUCGUCCUCAAGUGUCGAGCCAAGGCAUCAUGAAGCACGUCUUCACCAUCAUCUCCUCCGCCGCUUCCGCAAGAUGUCUCCGCUCCCGUUGGGGAUCACGGUGACGCUGGUUACCUUGGUCUUCCUCCUAUCGCCGCCAAUGAGCCCAUCCUCUGCCUCAUCUGGGAGCAUAUUGCUCUUCUCCACACCGGACCCCUUGAAGACCGCUCAAAUGCUGCCACUUCCCUCGUUUCUCUUGCCCGCGAUAGCGAUCGCUACACUAAGCUUAUCAUCGCGGAAGGAGGCAUAGGGCCUCUCCUUAUAGCAGGGGAACAAGUGUCGGCGGCGGCUUACUUCACUUGUUGCUGAAAUUCGACGAGAGAAACGAUGGGUGUGUAGAACUAGAAGCUCAUCGGAGUUUUAGCUCACUUAUCCAUUCCAAUCCGCAGUUAAGAGGAUUUCUAUCAAGUCGAAGGCUUGGCGUGAGAUGUUCUGUUUCGCUCGAUAGAGAUACUCCCAUUACUGAUUCGUUCUCUUCUCACCCGAAUUUCUUCACUCGAGCUAAACAAGUGAAGGGAAUUGAGAUCAGUGAUCAACAUAGCUUGGCUAUAUGGUCUUUGAUGCAUCACAGUGGGUGCAAAUUCCUUUCACCGACAGGAAGACCGAUGAGAUCAAAGAGCCAAAGAAGAAGCAUAAAACAAAGGCUAAGGCUUAAAAGAUUUGUGGGUUAACAUAUUUUGCAUGUUUAUUAUGUAUCUCGGUUUUUCUUUUGAACUUAUGUAGGAUGAUAUGUAAGUUUUGCUUGUGUUGAAUCCAUGUAGGAUGAUAUAUAAGACUAUUGCUUGUGUUGUUGCA
This is a long non-coding RNA of Brassica napus (rape), 1398 nucleotides long. RefSeq lists it as uncharacterized. The record is from RefSeq and is a predicted model, not a curated record. The transcript has 3 exons. NCBI's taxonomy places the organism in Eukaryota, Viridiplantae, Streptophyta, Magnoliopsida, Brassicales, Brassicaceae.